UUUGCAUUGUACUGAGUUUCAAUCAUUUUAUGAAAUUUUUGAAACAACAAGUUCACUUCAUCUUUGGUCUUCAUCAAGCAUAACCAUGUCAUUCUGGUACAAUCAUCAAUAAAAGUAACAAACCAACGUGAGCCACUCAAAGUUGGGACUUUGGAUGGGCCCCAAACAUCAGAAUGUAUAACCAUAAAAGGAAAUGGACUUUUAUUCAAAAUUAACGGAAACAAAGCACGAUGGCUUUUAGUCAAUUCACAAAUAUCACAACGGAAACCAGAAAUAUCACUCUUUGCAAACAAACUAGGAAACAAUUUUUUUAAAUAACCAAAGGAAGCAUGUCCCAGACGUCGAUGUCAUAACCAAAUUUCAGACUUUUUCUUCUCCCCCUCAGAUCCAUCUGCCAUCAAGGCUUGUUGCAACUUAUUUGAAUCCUUUGAUUGCAAGUCCAAGUAAUAGAGUUUUCCCUGUUUAAUACCACAACCAAUCGUCUGUCUUGUUUGGAUGUCCUUAAUCACACAAAAUUCAGGCUAAAAAAUGACAAUACAAGAUAAGGCUGUAGCGAUUUGAGAAACUGACAAAAGAUUAUAAUCUAAAGAUGGAACAACUAAAACAGAAUCCAAAUUCAAAGUAUCAGUGAGAGUUAAGGAUCCUUCCCCAAUGACUGGGGUUGUGUUACUAUUGGCUGUGGAAAUAAUUUUUUGUGAGGAAGGUCUAAGGGGUGAAACCUGUCUAGAAUCAAAAGUCAUAUGAUCUGUAGCACCAGAAUCAAUUAUCCAUGCACUAUUAAUAACAGGUGUAAAAGUAUUUAAAAACUUACCACCAUGAUCAAUAGCGGCUACCAAUGCAGAGGCUUUCUCAGCAACAUUAGCCUCUAUUUUUAUUUCGACAACAAUUGCAGUCGAGGUUUUCUUGGGAUCCUUCUUCCGUUGAUCACGAUUAUUAUAAUUAAUAACAAAGUGUUGAUAGCCUAAACAUGAUCUAAAGGUCCAUGGUUUAAACCCUUGGUUCCUUAUUGUUUUCCUGGUCAUACCAAGAGUCGUUGCUUUGAAAUUGUGGGAUAUCCAGACUGGUGAGACCAGUCUUAUUGAAGGGAGUGCAUUUGAAGGUUGACUUAUCAAUAUUAGGGAUUGUCUUAGGAUGGUUGAUCGCUAUUGGACUACCAUAGCGACAAAAUAUCCAGGAUUUCAGUUCCAUGGCUCUGAUACCAUCUUCAAAUUGUUAAAUGGUAGUUUUUUUCAUUCAUACUUUCAUUCGUUCAUGUACAGAGUAUAUAUAGAGGGUAAUCACCAUUCUAAGAAUGAGAAAUAAUGAUACAAAGAAAGAAUGAUAUAAGGAAAUAACAACUAAUAUCCUAAUAUCUCAACUUUCCUAAUAUCUCAAUAUUCCUAAUAUCUCAAUAUUCCUAGUAUCUCAAUAUUCCUAAUAUCUCAAUAUUCAUAAUAUCUCAACUUUCCUAAUAUCUAAACAUUCCUAAUAUCUCAACACUAAAUGAUAUAAGGAAAGAAUGAUAUAAGGAAAGCAUUCUUAAUAUCUCAACACUAACAACUCCAUGACUGACGUUGCCACUGAAAUAUUGAACAGAACUCCGAAGUUGCUUACUGCUCGUAACAUCCUUGGAGAGACGCCUCUCUUUCGAGCGGUCCGGUAUGGGAAAGAUGAAAUGUUCAAGCUACUAGCUGAGAAGCUUGACCGUAUGGAUUUUGAAACUGAAGAAGAUCGUAAAGCCUGUUUGCAGAGGAAUGAUGGAACAACUAUUCUCCAUAUUUCCGUAUUUACUGAGAAUUUUGACUUGGCGCUGUUGAUUGCGGAAAGAUAUGAAGAUUUAAUUAGCGCCUGGGACUCUAACCAAAUGACGGCUCUUCAACAUCUAGCAUGCAACCCAUCGGCAUUUCUCAGUGGAUGCGAACACGGACAUCUGAGGCGAUUCAUCUACUCUUGUAUUUCAAACAAGGCCAGGGGAAGUCGGUGUCAAGAUCUUAAAUCUGAUGCUAAAUCACGCUUUAGAUGGCCCGUUUGGGAAGCACUUUUGGAAGAAAAGCAUAGAUAUGAAGCAGCUUGCGAACUUGCCAAUAAGUUACUAGAAAGUGAUACUUCAUGGGAGGCUACGAAUCCUCAAGCAGUGGACCGAGGUGUGCCUACAAAGUCCAUUUCUGUGCAAGAGAAAGGAGGAGGCUCAUUGGUAUCAUCAAAAGAAAAGGAAAAAGUGGAGCUCUCUAUUGUCCUGCAACACCCAGAUGAAAAGAAAGGAAAAACCUCUCCAAAAGGCAAUAGAACUAGAUUCAACAAUAUCAGGAACAAGGAAACUCCAUUGUUUUUGGCAACAAUAUCAGGCAUUCCAGAGAUUGUCGGUGAAAUACUCAAGAAGUACCCCCAGGCAAUUGAGCAUUAUAAUGACCAAGGAAGGAACAUACUUCAUGUAGCGAUCAAUUACCGCCAGAUAGAGAUUUUUGAUGUGGUAGUUAAGAUGGAAAUGCCAGCCAGGAGGCUACUACGGGCAACAGACACUAAAGGGAACUCCAUUCUGCAUAUGGUUGGAAAGAAAGAAAAACGCUACGUCUCGAGAAAAACACGAUCCCCUGCAAUCCAAUUGCAAGAGGAGUUGCUCUUGUUUGAGCGUGUGAAGGAAUACUCUAAAUCCCAUUUCCUCAAGGUCUUCAACCAUAACAACCAGACUGCAGAUGAAUUAUUUGCUUCCAACUACUGUGAACUUCAUGAGGAAGCCAAAGAAUAGCUGAAGCGCACCGUUGAAAACUGCACCAUUAUGGCUGUUCUUAUUGCUACCGUUGCCUUUGCUGCAGCCUACACUAUACCAGGAGGACCAAAUCAAAGCACUGUUACAAGACUUCAAGAAGUCUCUUCUUCGAAAGUUGAUGCUCGGUUUUACGUUUUUGAUCCUUUCCGUGUCGAUGAUGAUGGUGGCAUUUGGUGCAAUAGUCAUCCUUAUGAUACAAAAUAAGGAAAGGUGGACCAAAAUUGUCCUAUACUCGGUUGCAUUCCUCCCAGUUAUUAUUUUUGCGCUCUCAUAUUCCCCGCUAUAUUAUAGACUCCUGAAAGCUUGCACUGGUCUGCUCAAUCUUGCACUUGAACUUUGCCCCAAGUGUACUUGUGUUUCUCCACCAUCAUGGACAACCAAGUUUUUCAACCGCGGAGAAUCCAAGCCCAACCGCCCUCAAUCUCAAACAUUCAGUUCCAAAUGCCCUUCUACAUUUCAAACCACUGAUUCUUCAGUUUGAAAGGCCGAUGAGGACCUAUGUAUGUAUGUAUGAAUGAUUUGACUGCUUCUUUCUCAUUUAUUUGCUUAGAACUGAUUGUACAAAUGUUAUGUAAUAAGUUAACAAAUGAAAAAAAUGAAAUGGAAGGUUUUAAUAAAUGCAGAAAAAACCCAACA
Vitis vinifera (wine grape) is the source of this 3382-nucleotide RNA transcript. RefSeq lists it as uncharacterized. NCBI's taxonomy places the organism in Eukaryota, Viridiplantae, Streptophyta, Magnoliopsida, Vitales, Vitaceae. The transcript has 6 exons. The record is from RefSeq and is a predicted model, not a curated record.